GUAGGAUAAGCUAAGCACACUGUUGGUUAUGUGUGCCCAAGCAUUGAGGCAGUCAAAGUAGGCAAAUCCGCUUUGAUAAUGCUGGGAUGUGAUGGGGAGCGAAAUUUAGUAGCGAAGUAGCUGAUUUCACACUGUCAAGAAAAGUCUCUAUCGAGGUUAAAGGUACCCGUACCGCAAACCGACACAGGUGGGUGAGGAGAGUAUCCUAAGGCCAGCGAGAGAACUGUUGUUAAGGAACUCGGCAAAAUGACCCCGUAACUUAGGGAUAAGGGGUGCCACCAUCAGGUGGCCGCAGAGAAUAGGCCCAAGCGACUGUUUACCAAAAACAUAGGUUUCUGCUAAGUCGCAAGACGAUGUAUAGGAGCUGACGCCUGCCCGGUGCUGGAAGGUUAAGGGGAUCUGUUAGAGCAAUCGAAGCAGUGAACUUAAGCCCCAGUAAACGGCGGCCGUAACUAUAACGGUCCUAAGGUAGCGAAAUUCCUUGUCGGGUAAGUUCCGACCCGCACGAAAGGCGUAACGAUUUGGGCACUGUCUCAACAACAGACUCGGUGAAAUUGUAAUUCCGGUGAAGAUGCCGGAUACCUGCGACAGGACGGAAAGACCCCAUGGAGCUUUACUGUAGCUUGACAUUGGGUCUUGGUACUACAUGUACAGGAUAGGUGGGAGGCUUUGAAACCAGGACGCCAGUUUUGGCGGAGCCAUCCUUGGGAUACCACCCUUGUAGUACUGGGACUCUAACCAUAGGCCAUGAAUCUGGUCUUGGGACACUGUCAGGUGGGCAGUUUGACUGGGGCGGUCGCCUCCCAAAAGGUAACGGAGGCGCUCAAAGGUUCUCUCAGUACGGUCGGAAAUCGUACGUAGAGUGUAAAGGCAAAAGAGAGCUUGAUUGCAAGACAUACAGGUCGAGCAAGGAUGAAAAUCGGACUUAGUGAUCCGGUGGUUCUGCGUGGAAGGGCCAUCGCUCAACGGAUAAAAGCUACCCUGGGGAUAACAGGCUUAUCUCCCCCAAGAGUCCACAUCGACGGGGAGGUUUGGCACCUCGAUGUCGGCUCAUCACAUCCUGGGGCUGUAGUAGGUCCCAAGGGUUGGGCUGUUCGCCCAUUAAAGUGGUACGCGAGCUGGGUUCAGAACGUCGUGAGACAGUUCGGUCCCUAUCCGUCGCAGGCGUAGGAAAUUUGAGAAGACCUGUCCUUAGUACGAGAGGACCGGGAUGGACG
This 1217-nucleotide ribosomal RNA is filed under the name Clostridioides difficile. RNAcentral describes it as "partial 23S ribosomal RNA". It matches the Rfam family "Bacterial large subunit ribosomal RNA", at positions 1477 to 2703 of the family's 2925-position model. The record is from RNAcentral. Lineage: Bacteria; Bacillati; Bacillota; Clostridia; Peptostreptococcales; Peptostreptococcaceae.